This 358-nucleotide ribosomal RNA is filed under the name uncultured Pelotomaculum sp. RNAcentral describes it as "bacterial SSU rRNA". It matches the Rfam family "Bacterial small subunit ribosomal RNA", at positions 1023 to 1382 of the family's 1533-position model. Lineage: Bacteria; Bacillati; Bacillota; Clostridia; Eubacteriales; Desulfotomaculaceae. The record is from RNAcentral.
UGGACAGGGAGACAGGUGGUGCAUGGUUGUCGUCAGCUCGUGUCGUGAGAUGUGGUUAAGUCCCGCAACGAGCGCAACCCCUACGUUUAGUUGCUAACGCGUGAAGGCGAGCACUCUAGACGAACUGCCGUUGACAAAACGGAGGAAGGUGGGGAUGACGUCAAAUCAUCAUGCCCCUUAUGUUCUGGGCUACACACGUGCUACAAUGGCCGGUACAGACGGACGCAAAGCCGCGAGGUGGAGCAAAUCCUAAAAAGCCGGUCUCAGUUCGGAUUGCAGGCUGCAAUUCGCCUGCAUGAAGUCGGAAUCGCUAGUAAUCGCAGGUCAGCAUACUGCGGUGAAUACGUUCCCGGGCCUU